ACGGGCAGACUAGAGUGCGGUAGGGGAGACUGGAAUUCCUGGUGUAGCGGUGGAAUGCGCAGAUAUCAGGAGGAACACCGGUGGCGAAGGCGGGUCUCUGGGCCGUUACUGACGCUGAGGAGCGAAAGCAUGGGGAGCGAACAGGAUUAGAUACCCUGGUAGUCCAUGCCGUAAACGUUGGGCACUAGGUGUGGGGUCCAUUCCACGGGUUCCGCGCCGCAGCUAACGCAUUAAGUGCCCCGCCUGGGGAGUACGGCCGCAAGGCUAAAACUCAAAGGAAUUGACGGGGGCCCGCACAAGCGGCGGAGCAUGCGGAUUAAUUCGAUGCAACGCGAAGAACCUUACCAAGGCUUGACAUACACCGGAAACAUCCAGAGAUGGGUGCCCCGCAAGGUCGGUGUACAGGUGGUGCAUGGUUGUCGUCAGCUCGUGUCGUGAGAUGUUGGGUUAAGUCCCGCAACGAGCGCAACCCUUGUCCUGUGUUGCCAGCGGAUAAUGCCGGGGACUCGCGGGAGACUGCCGGGGUCAACUCGGAGGAAGGUGGGGAUGACGUCAAAUCAUCAUGCCCCUUAUGUCUUGGGCUUCACGCAUGCUACAAUGGCCGGUACAAAGGGUGGCGAUGCCGUAAGGUGGAGCGAAUCCCAAAAAGCCGGUCUCAGUUCGGAUUGGGGUCUGCAACUCGACCCCAUGAAGUCGGAGUCGCUAGUAAUCGCAGAUCAGCAACGCUGCGGUGAAUACGUUCUCGGGCCUUGUACACACCGCCCGUCACGUCACGAAAGUCGGUAACACCCGAAGCC
This 797-nucleotide ribosomal RNA is filed under the name Georgenia sp. RNAcentral describes it as "bacterial SSU rRNA". It matches the Rfam family "Bacterial small subunit ribosomal RNA", at positions 632 to 1428 of the family's 1533-position model. The record is from RNAcentral. Lineage: Bacteria; Bacillati; Actinomycetota; Actinomycetes; Allobogoriellales; Allobogoriellaceae.